Molecule: ribosomal RNA, 497 nt
Filed under: uncultured bacterium
Lineage: Bacteria
Description: partial 16S ribosomal RNA
Rfam family: Bacterial small subunit ribosomal RNA
Source: RNAcentral
GAUGAACGCUGGCGGCGUGCCUAAUACAUGCAAGUCGAGCGAACGGACGAGAAGCUUGCUCCUCUGACGUUAGCGGCGGACGGGUGAGUAACACGUGGAUAACCUACCUAUAAGACUGGGAUAACUUCGGGAAACCGGAGCUAAUACCGGAUAAUAUAUUGAACCGCAUGGUUCAAAAGUGAAAGACGGUUUUGCUGUCACUUAUAGAUGGAUCCGCGCUGCAUUAGCUAGUUGGUAAGGUAACGGCUUACCAAGGCAACGAUGCGUAGCCGACCUGAGAGGGUGAUCGGCCACACUGGAACUGAGACACGGUCCAGACUCCUACGGGAGGCAGCAGUAGGGAAUCUUCCGCAAUGGGCGAAAGCCUGACGGAGCAACGCCGCGUGAGUGAUGAAGGUCUUCGGAUCGUAAAACUCUGUUAUUAGGGAAGAACAUAUGUGUAAGUAACUAUGCACGUCUUGACGGUACCUAAUCAGAAAGCCACGGCUAACUACGUG